GUUUCCCGUCCUUUGUGCCCGUUUAUCGUGGCCGCCGCCCCGCCGCGUGCCUGGCCGGUACCCCGGGUCUCCCCAGGAGGACGGUGUCCCGGAGGCCAGACCCCUGGGAAAGAGCUUUUCCUCCCGUGCUUGUGCGCCCUCGUUCCCUUGGGGGGACACCCCAGGCACAUCCAGGGCAUGGGCACCGGGGUGUACGAGGACAUGAAUCCGGGGAAGCCGGGCUCUGGAACAUUCCUGGGAGUGUCCUGCCAAAGAAGUGGACAAGAGUGUAAGCACAGCUGUCACGCGCAGUGACUCUGGUCUCUCCCAGGCAGUGUGUGGAGCGCUCUGGACAGGAGACUCCAGGACCCGGGACCAGCUGCCUCAGUCCUCUCCUGCAGGAUUCCAUCACCUCUCCCAGCGCCGCCUCCAGAGUCCUCUGGCAUCUUUGAGAGCAGUGGACAAUGGAUAAAUCUCUGGAACCCUUGACCUUCAGAGAUGUGGCCGUAGAAUUCUCGCAGGAGGAGCAGGACUACCUGGACCCGGCACAGUGGGAAUUUUACCGAGACGUGAUGUUAGAGACUUACAGGAACCUGGCGUCCUUGGGUGAUCUGCAGCCUGCUCUAUUAGUGCUCAUUCAAGAAAAUCAGUUCCUUAUUACAAGCUAAAAUCAGUGUGUUAUUGCACAUUCCUAUGACUCAGAUGUCUGGAAAUGGUUCUCAGGAUUGAAAAUUUAUUUCUUUAAAGAUUUAUUUAUUUAUGCAUACAAGAGCUGGGGUUCAGGCCAGAGGUGUGAGGGGUGAAAUGACUCACCAGAGACAGAACCGGGAACAGAACAGGCAGAUCAACCGAAGCACACUGCUGAGGGGAGCAGCGGUCGAGUCAGGAGACGUCCACCUCGCCAUGUAGGCCACUCCCUGGCCGGCCAGGGAUUGAACUCUCGCUACAGAGGCCACGGACAGCUUCACAGGAUGCUCCUUAACCCCUUGCACCUCCAGGGAGGCCCCAGGAUAUGAAAAUUUAAAUGAUUUCUGGUAAAGGUGGUGUCAGAAAAAGUAUUUGCAGUGAUCCUUUUCUAGAACCUUCUGUAUUCUCCUCUCUACUGAGCACAAUCCUGUAUUGGUAAUUUGAAAAUCUGCAGGCCAUCUCAUAUCACCUGUCCUAAUAAACAGGUCUUGCUAUGUCUAAGCCUGACCUGGUCGUCUUGUUGGAGCAAAAGGUGGAGCCCUGGGAUGUGAAGAGAAGUGCAAAUCCCGUCCUCCUCCCAGCCAUGUCUUCUCAAGACGACCAGGACUGCAUACCACAGUCAGGCACAGAAGAUUUAUUCCUAAAUGUGGGACCGGGAGGAGAUGGAAUCGACACCUUUGAGAAUUUAGAAUUAUUGAAAGAUCAGACAUGUCAAGAGGCAUGUGAAGGGCACAACAGUUGUUGCGAUGAAGAUGGCCGAGCAGCGACAAUUAUCCAUAGUAAAAUUUCUCCUGCAAAAACUGAUCCAGUGUGUAAACCAUGUUUGGUAAAACUCCAUUUUAUGUGUGUUGCAUGUAUAGAUAAAUAUGUUUCUGUUAGCAAAGAUCCAUGUGGCAUUUUUACCAAUACACAUUCUCAGAGAGGAAUAUUGGAACAUAUGGGAAGUCCCCUAGUCCAUAAUGGAAAUGAUUAUUCAAAACAUUGUCACCAUGGGGUAGGUUUAAACUUUGUGUCAAAUCAUUCUCAACAUCAGAGAAUUAGAAAGGAAGAUGAAAAAUCUACACAGGAUCCUAUUGAGGAGUCCUCAAAACUUCUCCAAUAUCAGACAAUUGGUGAGAAACCUUACAAUUGUAAAGAUUAUGGCAAAGAUAACACUUGCUGCUCCAGCCUUAAUGAACAUCAGAGAAAGAAACGGCGUAAAUGUGGAGAGCAUGGUAAAGGCUUUUAUUGGCAUUCACAGUUGACUCGAUCUCUAAGAAGUCAGAGAAAAGCCUUACAUGUGUCCAGACUGUGGUAAAGCCUUUCUAUAUUUGUGUCGCCUUUCCCAACAUCAGAGAGUUCAUAAUGGUGAGAAACCUUACAAAUGUGAAGAAUGUAAGAAAGCCUUUAAGGUGAAGUCAAGUCUUAGUCAGCAUCAGAGAAUUCAUACUGGCCUGAAACCUUACAAAUGUGAAGAAUGUGGCAAAGCCUUUAACUGGGUGUCAAAUCUUUCUAAACAUUAUAAACUUCAUACUGGGGAAAAGCCUUACAAAUGUAAUGAAUGUGGAAAAGCCUUUAUUAAUAAUUCAAAACUUAUUCAACAUCAUAGAAUUCAUACUGGGCAGAAACCUUACAAAUGUAAAGUAUGUGGCAAAGUCUUUAACCAGAAGUCACAUCUUAAUCGACAUCACAGAAUUCAUGCUGUGGAGAAACCUUAGAACUGUUAAGAAUGUGGCAGUCUUUAAAAAAACAGUCAUAUCUUAGUCAUCAUAGAAUUCACACUGGGAAGAAACUACAAAUGUGAAGACUGUGGCAAAGCCUUUAACUGGAAGUCAAGUCUUAUUCUACAUCACAGAAUUCACAUUAGAGAAAUGUUAAAAUUCAAAGGUCAUUUUUUUACUGUAGUCUCUUUAACCAGAAGUCCAGAAGUUUCACCAGAAGUGGCAGUGAUUAUCCAGAAGUCAAAUCAUCCUAAACAUCAGAGUGCCUAGUGAGAGAACCCGUAAAUGAAAGUGACCAAUGGAUUGUCCAAAUAUAUAUUAUGAAACCACCAGAUUUUCAUACUGGAAACUUUAAAGAAGCAAAAAUAGGAGAAAGUAAUUUAUAAUGAAAAUUAGAUGCAUAUUGAGACAUUGCAGUGCAGUAGUAAGUUAAUUAAACUUGGCCAGACAUAACCUAAAAUGAGAAUAUGGUCAUGGAGCAUAAACCAAGAUUAAAACACUAAAUAUUAGCAUAAUUUAAAAGUUCAGGAGGCCUCCCUGGUGGCGCAAGGGGUUAAGUUGCAGCUUUGUGAAGCUGUUGGCAGCCACUGCAGCACAAGUUUGAUCCCUGUCCAGGGAGCUGACCGACAUGGAGCAGCAGACCUCUCCUGUCUUGCCUGAUGCUCCCCUCAGCAGUGUAUUUCAGUAGAUCUGCCUGUUCUGUUCCCCACUCUGUCUCUGGUGAAUCCUCUCACCCCCCUCACCUCUGGCCUAUACCCCAGUUUUUGUAUGCAUAAAAAUACAUCUUUAAAAAACAUAAAUAAAACUUGAAGACAAUGGUUUGGGUCAUGUAUAGUUAUUUUCUAUCAGCCAUACUUGAGCUAUGAAUAGACAUGAUGAAUGUAAUUCACGCCUAAAUUACUUCAUUCUAUGACUUUCUCAUGUACGUCACAUCAUGUGUUUGAUUGUUGCUGCCUCAAACAUCUAAGGGAUCCUUCUCUAAUGGAUGGAUUUGCUCACAUCUGACUUGCUCCUGCAAAUUUAAGGUGGUGUCAUAUAUCAUGUAUGAAGAAAAUGUGAAUGGAUAUGCUGUUUGGUUGACUCAAAAGAUUGAUCUAAAUCACCCAAUUGGCAUAGAAAUUAGACCGAGAAACAUGCUGAAGUUCAAAUCAUUUCAUCCUUUUGUCCUUAGGGAAUACAUUGACAGUCUAUUAAAGUCCUGAUGUCUCUUCAGAGUAGUAAUAGAGAUCAUGAAUAUUAUUUGAUGUUGUUGCCAAAAGAAAUCUUCACAGGCACAUGAUGAAAGAGCAGGUGACUUUCACAAAAGGGCAUGGAAUUCUCAUCCAUUCACAUUAGCUAAGUAAAGAGGCUCUG
Molecule: RNA transcript, 3719 nt
Organism: Talpa occidentalis (Iberian mole)
Lineage: Eukaryota; Metazoa; Chordata; Mammalia; Eulipotyphla; Talpidae
Gene name: zinc finger protein 682-like
Exons: 5
Source: RefSeq, a predicted model, not a curated record